RNAcentral lists this long non-coding RNA (1346 nucleotides) under Phoenix dactylifera (date palm). Its description in RNAcentral is "long non-coding RNA (PDAC_LNC004932)". Lineage: Eukaryota; Viridiplantae; Streptophyta; Magnoliopsida; Arecales; Arecaceae. The record is from RNAcentral.
UCCGUUCAAAUGCUGCAAACGAAUCAUUGGACCUUAUCAUCUCUUUUUCGAAAUAUUUUAAUUUUUAAUUUUUAGGAUGUAUCCACGCUAAAUUUAUAUAAGUUAUCUGUCUUAGCAGCAAUAAAAUAAAAUAAAAUAAAAUAAAGGCCAGUGGUAAAGAUUUUUUUUUUAUUGAAGAGGAUGAUGAUCAUUUACAGGGUGGAUUUGUAAAGUACAUGGAGAUAGAAGAACUGUAGGAGAUAUUACAAGGUUCCAAAAGCCAAUUGUGAUGGGAUCAGAACAAGAUAAACUGAUCAGGAGCACCAAAUGACCGGUUAGGGGACGUUAAACUUCAAUAAACGGAUGCAACCUGCAGCACUGAAUUUAAACUUCAGCAGAGAAAUUAAGAACUGUGAAAGCUUCACCUCCCGAAUUCUGGACUUCUUGAGUAUCAGCAGGUUCUAAACUUGUUCUUCAUCUCUUCUUUCCAACGGGAGAUCAAAUCUUUUGUCGUGUCAAAACACAGCAAGAACCAGGCAGAAAAGAUUUGAUGUGAUGGAAACAGCGGUGAGGAGUGGUCAGGUAAAGAGCAAACAGCAGGAGUCGCAACAGACUUCCAACUCAAUUCCAAACAGUACUGACAGAGAGUUAAAUCAACGCAUCAAUCCUUCUCUGCAGAGACAACUGUGACCACAAUCAAAGACAUCAGGAUGACAAGUUGGCAAAGAGAAGAAGACAGAUGUUGAAUCUGAAUGCAGAAGAUACUUAUCUUGGAGCCCUAAAACAGCAGAGUAAGAUGAAUUUAUACACCUGUUAAUGACGAAGGUAUGAUCCUUGGCUUGUUCCAUAUUUUCCAAAACUCUGGCAACAGCUUGUGAUCACAUAUACGUGGAAGAGACUAGCAUCUCAAAUCUAAGAAAAGGUGUUCAAAAUUGAGUUUUGACUCGACCCAAAUUUCAAAUAGGUCGAAUUAGGUCUGAAUUCAAUAACUCACUUAGAAAAUAGAACAGAUCUAAUUUUAGAACCUAAACCAGCUCCACGAGUCCUCCAAAACGAGUCAGAUCAAGUCUAAACGAAUUAGGUCGGAUCGAGUUACGGAUCAACCCGAUCCAUUUGUAGCCUUAAUGGGGGCACCGCCGAUGUGCUUUUAUUUUGAUGGGGAUAAGAUUGUUUGAGAACAAGUUCGCUCUCUCCUGGAAUAGAGAUAGGGGCGGAAGUGGAUCGAAUAAUAUCCAUUCAAAUUCGUUUUUAUAUUCAAAUCUAUUUGAAGAUUCAUCGAACUAAUAUCCAUAUCCACAUCCAUCUAAAAAAAAUUGAAUAUAAAUAUAUAUAAAAAACUAUUGGACGUAUCCAAUUCUAUUUAAUUU